AAUGAUCAGGUUAUCAUAUCUUUACGGAGAGGAAGCCGCUCUUCUCUCUUUUAUUCUUGUUGAAUUCGAUCUUGAAUUUUCAUUUCCAUCGCGAAGGACUUCAACUCAACUGGAGUAGCUUAAUCUUUGAUCUUUCUUCUUCUUCCUUUUCUUUUAGGAAAGAGCACAUUGAGUCACUUUUGGCUAUAGCUGGCAGCAAGAAAGAAUGAAAAAGAUGUAAAAAAACGACUAUUAUCGGUCCGAAGGUUAUGAAAUAACGAGAAAAAAAACAAAGAAAUUCAUGAAUUGAGAAUGAAACCUAUGAAUUUUUGUAAUCAACGACCUUGUAAUCCUUAGCGAAAAUUCAGAAAAAGCUAGGUUUUGGGUAUGGCUGGCAGCAACUUUUCAUUCAAAAUCUUGAAUUUUUUCUCUAUUAUCGUUAAAUAUCAAGAUGAGAAAAAGGACCAUUUUGCAAGAAAAAAGACGGGAAAACGCAAUGAAAGAAUCAAGCCUAUCAAAGAAAUGAACAGACUUUGAUGAGAGUUCUAGUUUCUGGUCCGGAUAAAGAGAGGAGAAAGAAAGUCAAAUGCCUGAUUUUGAACUCUAUUAUCGUAGAGUAGAUAGAGUCUCUAUUUAUGCUAUUUGAGUGGAAAAAGAAGAAAAAAUCCCGGGGUUUUGAAAAAAAGAAGAGACUUUUUCUAUCUCAUUUGCUUAAGACAUACAAGUAGGAGGUUCUUUGAAAGUCGUUAAGAGUCGACCCUCUGAUCUUUUCUUUCUAACUCACCUCUAUGCCUCCGUCCUCCCUCCUAUAUAUUAAGAGUGAUUUCUAGGACGAAUAUGAAUUCAGCCUCGUCUUCUCGGUCAAGCUGCUUUCGCUCCUUUCUCUCUCUUUCUCCAACCUUGCACAAGAUCGACUCAAAAUCAAAGAAUGAUCUCAGAAUGAUCGGCGAAAGGACUGAAUGAGAAUAUAAGAAGGUGCGAAGGAGCGAAAGCGGCUCGACUGAGGUUAGGAAGGUUCAGAGCGAAGGUUCAAUUUCAGGUUCUUUGAAAGUCGACUGAUAAGGAGUCAAUGAACAAGGGCCCUUUCCCUUUCUUUUUUGAAAUAACUCGACUCCAAACAUAAAGGCUCAAAGAAUGAUCGAAGCGACUGAAAGUUAAGGAAUUCUCCCUUCUUUAUCGCCCUUCAAAGACGAAAUAACUCGACUCCAAACAAUAGGGUGCGAAGGUACUCGUAGUUUUAGAUAUAGGGAAGGCGCAAAGAAUUUGUGGAGUUGAACUCGAGUGAGGUUAGGAAGGCGGAGUAGGAGAUUGAUUCUUUGCUCCUUCAAAGGAGUGCAACUCAGAACCAUUAGAUUUAGAGGACUCAUGAAAUUCCACUAACCCGUCAUCUGGACCUUUGUUUUUGGACCACUCAAAAUCCUUUAUCUUUUUCUUGUUUUUCUUCUCUUAGAAACUGUACUAAUCGCAGAGCUUUAUCAACUCAUAUAAUAUAUAUAUUGAUAAACGACUGAUUCUAUAUUUAUAUACUGAAUAGUGAAUAUCUUUUUCUGACUUUCGCACUUUCGCAGGAGCGCAAGAUAGAAAAGAUGUAGCAUCAAAGUGCAAAAGAAAAGAGGGGAGAGAGAAUGAGAUCUUGUUCGUAAAGCUAGAGGAAGAGUUCCGGAUCGAGCAUAUUCACACCUCAUCAGUCCAAGAAGGAAACCGAGAGAGCUGCUCAGCUCUGAAAUUGAAUAAGAGGUCAAAUUCUCUCUUUCGGAAAGCUAGAACUCAGAUAGAGACUAGCCUCAAGCGCGGACUCAGAAUCAAUCCUAGGGCUAGGAUCGAUAUAAAGCUGCUUUACCUUAUCGGAAAUAAAGGGAAGAUCAUUCAUCUUCCUUAUAGGGUGGUAUCUCAGAAUAGAUUCUAAGAAAUCAGAAAUGAUAGAUCACGUUCGGGGAAUCUGUCUUUUUCGUCCGACCCCACUCAAUCAUCAGAGUUCUCACUGGAGGGUAGUCCAACUAAGAUAGCUGACUCUGGAAGUCAUUCCCCGUUAUAGUAAGGUCCCGCUAUUUCAUCCCUCUCCCUCUCGUUCUACAAUCUCCUCUGAAUUUCUUUCAUCGAUCCUCUCUCUCGACUUCGUUCACUCCUAUCCUUCUAUUAGCUGAGAACCUCUUUCGAAGUAGGUCUCGCCCUUUGUCCUCAACUGAGCCUUCCCUUGCUUGAUCUUCCCCGCACCCUGACCGGGGGCUCAUUCUGAAUCUCAUACUCGUAUUCAUAUGCUUAGUUGGAUCGCGAUCAUUAUCACAGUGGAAAGAUAACUGAUAAGAGAAUGGAGGAAUCAGGCUCGCUCAUACGGAGAGCUUUCGCACCGAUAAGUCAAGCUUCAAGUCCUUUUCUUCUCUCCCGCAGCAGGAUUCCAAGAACGGAGAUCCUAUCCUCAACUCUCGCGCCUUCUGUUCUUCAAUCCAAUCCGAGCCUCGUCCUUGAGAUAAGAUAGUUCCACCCGCAAUCAAUGAACAAGGGGGAUGGGAUGACCUGUCGGGAGUAGCUCUUCUUCUUCUUUUUUUUUGAUUUCUUCUUCUUAUUAUUAGAAAAAUAGAAGGAUCUCCAUCCACGAGGUUGUAAGCUUCUGGUACGAAUCGCUAUGUAAUAAUAGGGUAAACCGGGCUCAGAACCGUACUGGAACGGAAGGCCCAGAGGUCAGGAUCGGUAUGAGCUAACCCAGUAGUUUAUCUUAUUUCAUUCUU
This is a long non-coding RNA of Cucumis melo (muskmelon), 2705 nucleotides long. RefSeq lists it as uncharacterized. NCBI's taxonomy places the organism in Eukaryota, Viridiplantae, Streptophyta, Magnoliopsida, Cucurbitales, Cucurbitaceae. The transcript is spliced from 2 exons. The record is from RefSeq and is a predicted model, not a curated record.